UACGGAGGGUGCAAGCGUUGUUCGGAAUUAUUGGGCGUAAAGAGCGUGUAGGCGGUCAGGUCAGUUAGGUGUGAAAUCCCGAGGCUCAACCUCGGAACUGCGCCUAAAACUUCCUGACUUGAGUACGGGAGAGGUAGGUGGAAUUCCUGGUGUAGAGGUGAAAUUCGUAGAUAUCAGGAGGAACACCGGUGGCGAAAGCGACCUACUGGACCGAUACUGACGCUGAGACGCGAAAGCGUGGGGAGCAAACAGGAUUAGAUACCCGCGUA
RNAcentral lists this ribosomal RNA (269 nucleotides) under uncultured prokaryote. RNAcentral describes it as "partial 16S ribosomal RNA". It matches the Rfam family "Bacterial small subunit ribosomal RNA", at positions 524 to 792 of the family's 1533-position model. The record is from RNAcentral.